GACGAAGGGGGCAAGCGUUGUUCGGAAUUACUGGGCGUAAAGGGCGCGUAGGCGGUUCUUUAAGUCAGGCGUGAAAGCCCUGGGCUCAACCUGGGAGUGGCGCUUGAUACUGGAGGACUAGAGAGUGGGAGAGGUUGGUGGAAUUCCCAGUGUAGAGGUGAAAUUCGUAGAUAUUCGCAAGAACACCAGUGGCGAAGGCGGCUCACUGGCCCGAUACUGACGCUGAGGCACGAAAGCGUGGGGAGCAAACAGG
Molecule: ribosomal RNA, 253 nt
Filed under: uncultured bacterium
Lineage: Bacteria
Description: partial 16S ribosomal RNA
Rfam family: Bacterial small subunit ribosomal RNA
Source: RNAcentral